RNAcentral lists this ribosomal RNA (483 nucleotides) under uncultured bacterium. RNAcentral describes it as "partial 16S ribosomal RNA". It matches the Rfam family "Bacterial small subunit ribosomal RNA", at positions 28 to 523 of the family's 1533-position model. The record is from RNAcentral.
GAUGAACGCUAGCGGCAGGCUUAAUACAUGCAAGUCGAGGGGGCAGCAAUGUCACCGGCGAACGGGUGCGUAACGCGUAUGCAACCUACCUACAUCAGGGGGAUAGCCCUAGGAAACUGGGAUUAACACCGCAUAACAUAUGACAAGGCAUCUUGUUAUAUUGAAAUAUUUAUAGGAUGUAGAUGGGCAUGCGUAGGAUUAGCUAGUUGGUAAGGUAACGGCUUACCAAGGCUACGAUCCUUAGGGGCUCUGAGAGGAGUAUCCCCCACACUGGCACUGAGAUACGGGCCAGACUCCUACGGGAGGCAGCAGUAGGGAAUAUUGGGCAAUGGAGGCAACUCUGACCCAGCCAUGCCGCGUGCAGGAAGACGGUCCUCUGGAUUGUAAACUGCUUUUGAAUGGGAAGAAUGUGUGGCUUGCGAGCUAUAAUGACGGUACCAUUAGAAUAAGCCACGGCUAACUACGUGCCAGCAGCCGCGGUAA